This 252-nucleotide ribosomal RNA is filed under the name uncultured bacterium. Its description in RNAcentral is "partial 16S ribosomal RNA". It matches the Rfam family "Bacterial small subunit ribosomal RNA", at positions 524 to 776 of the family's 1533-position model. The record is from RNAcentral.
UACGUAGGGUGCAGGCGUUAAUCGGAAUUACUGGGCGUAAAGCGUGCGCAGGCGGUUUGUUAAGACAGAUGUGAAUCCCCGGGCUUAACCUGGGAACUGCGUUUGUAACUGGCAAGCUAGAGUGUGGCAGAGGGGGGUGGAAUUCCAAGUGUAGCAGUGAAAUGCGUAGAUAUUUGGAGGAACACCAAUGGCGAAGGCAGCCCCCUGGGUUAACACUGACGCUCAUGCACGAAAGCGUGGGGAGCAAACAGG